This is a long non-coding RNA of Octopus sinensis (East Asian common octopus), 176 nucleotides long. RefSeq lists it as uncharacterized. The record is from RefSeq and is a predicted model, not a curated record. The transcript is spliced from 4 exons. Lineage: Eukaryota; Metazoa; Mollusca; Cephalopoda; Octopoda; Octopodidae.
GCCUAGCUGCCAAAGUAGAAUUAACAUCAGCUUAUUGAUGGUACUGUAUAAGUGACACUACAGUUGAAUAACAGGGAUGAUAUAAAAGAUAACCUCUAAACUCAUUUCAUCAAAUUGUAAAUGAUAGAGAGAUGGUGGAAAUUAGAUUAAAAAGUAAAUUAGAAAAAAACUCCAAA